GACGGAGGAUGCAAGCGUUAUCCGGAAUGAUUGGGCGUAAAGCGUCCGCAGGUGGCAGUUCAAGUCUGCUGUCAAAGACCGGGGCUUAACUUCGGAAAGGCAGUGGAAACUGAACAGCUAGAGUAUGGUAGGGGCAGAGGGAAUUCCUGGUGUAGCGGUGAAAUGCGUAGAUAUCGAGAGGAACACCUGCGGCGAAGGCGGGUUGCUGGGCUGAUACUGACGCUGAUGCGCGAAAGCCAGGGGAGCGAACGGG
This 253-nucleotide ribosomal RNA is filed under the name uncultured bacterium. RNAcentral describes it as "partial 16S ribosomal RNA". It matches the Rfam family "Bacterial small subunit ribosomal RNA", at positions 524 to 776 of the family's 1533-position model. The record is from RNAcentral.